Molecule: ribosomal RNA, 253 nt
Filed under: Parachlamydiaceae bacterium
Lineage: Bacteria; Pseudomonadati; Chlamydiota; Chlamydiia; Parachlamydiales; Parachlamydiaceae
Also listed under: 1 other name
Description: partial 16S ribosomal RNA
Rfam family: Bacterial small subunit ribosomal RNA
Source: RNAcentral
UACGGAGGGUGCAAGCAUUAAUCGGAUUUAUUGGGCGUAAAGGGCGUGUAGGCGGGUUGGUAAGUCGAAUGUGAAAUUCCAAAGCUCAACUUUGGGACUGCAUUUGAAACUACCGAUCUGGAGGAUUGGCGGAGAAAAUGGAAUUCCACGUGUAGCGGUGAAAUGCGUAGAUAUGUGGAAGAACACCUGUGGCGAAAGCGGUUUUCUAGCUUAUACCUGACGCUGAGGCGCGAGAGCAAGGGGAUCAAACAGG